CUCCAGCCAAUUCACCAUUCUCAUGAAUUACACUCUCCUCAAUUAUUUUCCAUGCUUUCUCUAUCUGUCGAAAGAAGAAAUGAAAAACUCGAAGUGCUGGACUUUACCAUUUUGAUUCAAUAGACCCAGCAGCCAACCCAAAUCAAAACGACAGCCACGCUCAUCAUCCACCCCAAGGCUUUGUGGACCAAGGGGUUAGCGUUGCUUUCCCAAGACAGGUUAUGUGUUUAUGAUCUUCAGGCUUUGCCUAAUCAGGUUGGCUGGCUGGUGCUGACGGGACGGAGCUGAGGCUAGGGUCAAAUUCCUAUUUUAGACUUCCGCUGUAGCAAUCACUCAUAUCCGUCUUUUGUUAUCCCAACUUAAGAUCUUCAUGUAAAAUUUCAAACGAUAUACUUGACCGAGCUUAGACUCUUCACUACUGAAUUUAUGCUAAUGAAUGUCGGUUGUCAGAAGCAUGAAACAAAA
Molecule: long non-coding RNA, 465 nt
Organism: Salvia miltiorrhiza (redroot sage)
Lineage: Eukaryota; Viridiplantae; Streptophyta; Magnoliopsida; Lamiales; Lamiaceae
Exons: 3
Source: RefSeq, a predicted model, not a curated record